RNAcentral lists this ribosomal RNA (468 nucleotides) under uncultured bacterium. Its description in RNAcentral is "partial 16S ribosomal RNA". It matches the Rfam family "Bacterial small subunit ribosomal RNA", at positions 28 to 507 of the family's 1533-position model. The record is from RNAcentral.
GACGAACGCUGGCGGCGUGCUUAGCACAUGCAAGUCGAACGGAAAGGCCCUGCUUUUGUGGGGUGCUCGAGUGGCGAACGGGUGAGUAACACGUGAGUAACCUGCCCUUGACUUUGGGAUAACUUCACGAAACUGGGGCUAAUACCGGAUAGGAGCUCCUGCUGCAUGGUGGGGGUUGGAAAGUUUCGGCGGGUGGGGAUGGACGCGCGGCUUAUCAGCUUGUUGGUGGGGUAGUGGCUUACCAAGGCUUUGACGGGUAGCCGGCCUGAGAGGGUGACCGGCCACAUUGGGACUGAGAUACGGCCCAGACUCCUACGGGAGGCAGCAGUGGGGAAUAAUGCACAAUGGGCGGAAGCCUGAUGCAGCAACGCCGCGUGCGGGAUGACGGCCUUCGGGUUGUAAACCGCUUUCGCCUGUGACGAAGCGUGAGUGACGGUAAUGGGUAAAGAAGCACCGGCUAACUACGUG